RNAcentral lists this non-coding RNA (45 nucleotides) under Schistosoma curassoni. Lineage: Eukaryota; Metazoa; Platyhelminthes; Trematoda; Strigeidida; Schistosomatidae. The record is from RNAcentral.
AUCCGGCUGACGAGUCCCAAAUAGGAAGAGACGCGCGUGUUGAAU